RNAcentral lists this ribosomal RNA (216 nucleotides) under uncultured bacterium. RNAcentral's name for it is "partial 16S ribosomal RNA". It matches the Rfam family "Bacterial small subunit ribosomal RNA", at positions 1287 to 1500 of the family's 1533-position model. The record is from RNAcentral.
CUCAGUUCGGAUCGCAGGCUGCAACCCGCCUGCGUGAAGUCGGAAUCGCUAGUAAUCGCGGAUCAGCAUGCCGCGGUGAAUACGUUCCCGGGCCUUGUACACACCGCCCGUCACACCAUGAGAGUCGGGAACACCCGAAGCCCGUAGCCUAACUUGCAAGAGAGGGCGCGGUCGAAGGUGGGUUCGAUAAUUGGGGUGAAGUCGUAACAAGGUAAC